RNAcentral lists this ribosomal RNA (499 nucleotides) under uncultured Sphingobacteriales bacterium. RNAcentral describes it as "bacterial SSU rRNA". It matches the Rfam family "Bacterial small subunit ribosomal RNA", at positions 880 to 1382 of the family's 1533-position model. The record is from RNAcentral. Lineage: Bacteria; Pseudomonadati; Bacteroidota; Sphingobacteriia; Sphingobacteriales.
UUGCCAGCCCGCUCAGAAACUCAAAUGAAUUGACGGGGGCCCGCACAAGCGGUGGAGCAUGUGGUUUAAUUCGAUGAUACGCGAGGAACCUUACCUGGGCUCAAAUGUAUGUUGACGUAUUCUGAAAGGGAUACUUCUUCGGACAAUAUACAAGGUGCUGCAUGGUUGUCGUCAGCUCGUGCCGUGAGGUGUCGGGUUAAGUCCCAUAACGAGCGCAACCCCUAUCAUUAGUUGCCAUCAGGUCAAGCUGGGGACUCUAAUGAAACUGCCUACGCAAGUAGUGAGGAAGGUGGGGAUGACGUCAAAUCAGCACGGCCCUUACGUCCAGGGCUACACACGUGCUACAAUGGCCGGUACAAAGGGCAGCUACCUGGUGACAGGAUGCUAAUCUCAAAAGCCGGUCUCAGUUCGGAUCGGAGUCUGCAACCCGACUCCGUGAAGUUGGAUUCGCUAGUAAUCGCGCAUCAGCCACGGCGCGGUGAAUACGUUCCCGGGCCUU